Molecule: small RNA, 68 nt
Filed under: Gordonia rhizosphera NBRC 16068
Lineage: Bacteria; Bacillati; Actinomycetota; Actinomycetes; Mycobacteriales; Gordoniaceae
Description: ASdes TB sRNA
Rfam family: ASdes TB sRNA
Source: Rfam by way of RNAcentral
AGCUCCACCGGGUCCACCCCACGCGUGACGACGAGGUAGUCCCGCAUCACGGUCGAAUGCCGCAUCUC